This is a non-coding RNA of Rattus norvegicus (Norway rat), 34217 nucleotides long. The record is from RefSeq and is a predicted model, not a curated record. NCBI's taxonomy places the organism in Eukaryota, Metazoa, Chordata, Mammalia, Rodentia, Muridae.
UGUACUUAACUGAAUUUUAUAACGCUGAUCGAUAUCUUGGUAAAAUAUUCAUUUUUAAACUAGCGGGCAGUGAAAUCUUUGCUUUGUGUGCUAAAGUCAACAGUCGCUCGGUUUGAGCUCAAAUAAAUGCAGGGAUGCCUCGGCUGGGAGCAGUCCGCCGCCUCCCUCCGAGCGCAGGACGCUCCGACGCCCGCCUGCCCGCAGGCCACCGCAGGUAGGGAGCGCACCCACUCGGGGGCCACGCCCGGGCUCCCCGCACAGAGUCCGCCCCCCCCACUCGGGUCCACAGGCCUCCCCUCCCCCACUUGAGCGAGCUCCAGUGCCUCUGAGAGAAUUGGGAGGUCCACCCAGCUCAGGAAGACGGGAAAUAGUGUUUUUGCAGGGGAGUGGGAAGAUUCAGGGCUGCACCGCCACUUAGAAGAACGAGGAGUCUGGGAGUUUAGAACUCCCAGCAGUUUUGGAGUUUGGUUUCCGGAGGCGUUGAGAAAUCAGAUUUGUCCCUGCAGCCACUCCGGCUGGAGAUUCGAACAGUGGGCUGCUAGUUUCAUAAGAGCUGGGGUUCGCGCAGAGUGUGGGGGUGGGGAGCAUCAGGGCGUCCUUGGCCUCACAAUCUAGGGUUGGGGACCGCCGGUUUGUGCGUGAAGCUGGGAGGAUACGGAGGAGAAGGAGGAGCGGAGGCCACAGAGUGCAGGGAGCUUAAAGCUCUGAGUGUGUUCUAAUGCUGUUUCCCAGAUCCCGGCAGAUCAAGGCAGCUCAAAACUCGUGCAGGGGAAGGGAAAGCGCCUUUACUAAAAGAUGAGUCACUUUAGUUCGCAAGAAGCGGCGUUGGCUUUUAUGCUGUAAAGUUCCACCUGGAUCACGAGCUGGGCCCGUGAGGUUAAGUCAAAGCGUACUGCGGGGUCGUCUACCUUCCCACUCCCAUUACAACCCAGUCGCGCCGCCUUGUUUCAGGAGCAGGAUGCGGAGUGUUGCACUUGCGCGUGUAGGGGUCGUAGAACAGGACUUUGGAAGGCAGUCUAGACUCUUCUUUCCGUUGCCUGCGGGAAGUUGCCAACCUCGUCUCACACUACCUUCCACUGCAGCCUGCUGAAAAUUCAGUACUCUACUCUUCUGAGGACAGGGUUCACAAAAGAUCUCUUUGGGGACAGAGAUGUGGCUCAUCGAUAGACGAUUUGACUUGUAAGAGUAAAGCCCAGGAAUCGCUGCUCACCAGUGGAGUGGAUGUGGAGGGGGGAGAAAAAGAAAACAGCCAUUAUCUUUACUGUUGUCUACCUGUCCCGCCAAUUCUUUCUUAAACUCGCGUUCUCCAUACGUCUUUGCCUUAAAUGCAGGGCUUUGGAAGAAUCCCACUUCUAGUUGGGUUUCCCUUGUCACCCUAACUGGAAUCCAUUCCAGGUUUCAUUGCUAUCUGCAGAUGGUGAACCCAGUAUGCAGAAAUGGUCUGCCGGCCCUCUGGAUCAAUGCUAUGAGGGCAUCUUCGAAAGUGGAGCCUAGGCACACCCUUUGGUGCUGCCUUUGUAUCCCAGGCUGCUUGCCCAUGUUCCGGACACUGGAAGCCAACUCGGACGCCUCUGCAGCGCUCUAAGCUGAGGCUCUGCCUAGUGUGGCUGGUGCCUUCUUGGAACGAGGUGGGAAGCAUGCAGGACGCAAGGCGAGGCUAAUCGUUUUUAAAUAAUUAAUGCCCCCCAUUCCGGUGGUAAUGCAAGGCCUCGAAUCCGUCAAUUACUUGUCAUUAGACGAGUGUCGCCCCACGGCCUUCCCUCGAGCCUUUGAUGGCGCCGGGUCACCUAGCCCAGCCCACUCUACCGCGGAAUUAAAAGGUGCCCGGCCUUUGAGAGCGGGUGCGGACUAGCCAUGGCCCCUCAAUUCAGUGAAGAGUUUUGAAAGAAAGACCCUCGGUUAAGAGAUGUAAUCUUUCAAAUGGCCAAUUUAAACGCCCGAUCUUUAUCACCCUCCUCCUCCCCGCUUUAUACAGAGAAGGCAGUCGGUUGUGCUUUGGGGGGCUUUUAAUGUGAAAGUGGGGCGCGGGGGUGGAGCGAGAGCUAAGGUUUAAUGGGGCAUAGGGGAAGGCGUUUGUCCCUGGAUGUACUUAGAGUUACCUAGAAGCCACUGUGUCUUUUUUUUCCUUCCCCUAAGUAUGUAAGCCGGGGCGGGGGCGAUGAGGGUGGCUCCCUCUCUGGAGGAGCCAGGGGUACAACAUUAGGUCAGACCCCCUGCCUGAUCCUGUUCUCCCCCCUGAAAAAUAACGGGUAUGUGACAAAGGGAGUGCCAAGAAUGCCCCUAUUCCUCCAGCAAUUGAGCACCCAUAGGUGCUCUGCAGCCAGUCUGGCAGCAAUCUACACACAGGCCUCAAGUCCUGCUUCACAGGGCAGACACCAGCACCCCUCAAAAUAAUAACCCACUCUACCCCUCCCAGACUGUGGUGGCAAAGGAACACCUUGUGGUGGCAGGAUUCACACCUGAAGUGUCUGUUGAGGAAGGGAUGAUCUGGCCCUGACUUCAGUACCAUAGCAACCAAGACCAGCCAGGGGGACUCUGGUAAAAUGGAAAUUAAAAAAGGAAAGAAAGAAAGAAAGAAAGAAAGAAAGAAAGAAAGAAAGAAAGAAAGAAAGAAAGAAAGAAAGAAAGGAAGGAAGGAAGGAAGGAAGAAAGAAAGAAAGAAAGAAAGAAAGAAAGAAAGAAAGAAAGAAAGAAAGAAAGACAAGGGUAAAGGCCACCAAAAGUUUUCCACUAGGUUUAAUUUUUUCUGGUCACUGACUUGCUGGGUCUAGUAAGUUUUUGUGUUAUUUUACUUUUGACAGUAAGGAAAGGUGACAUACGCUCAGGACCUAUUCUGCACACCCUCUUUGAGCAAAAAGCUCCAUCUAUCCUUCCUAGACUAAGAAAGCAUUUAUCUCGGCAGUGGUCUUAGACUAGACUAGAAAUAAUGUUUGCUUCCCCCCCUUCCCUCCCUCCCUCCCUCCCUCCCUUCCUUCCUCCCUUCCUUCCUUCCUUCCUUUUUUGUUAAAUAUCAUCUCACCGCCCCAGGGCAGGUUUUCCUCUAUGGGGUGUGGGAAGGACACAGGAUGGAGGAAAAUAUCUGCUGUGGAAGGAGAAAGGUGGAGAGCCCUUUGUGUCUGGUCCACUCGGGAGCUUCUGCCUGCUUUUGAGGACUUUUUCUCCACUUGCCCAUGCUCUGUCUCCCCAAACAGAAAUGUCAGCACAAGAUUAAAAAAAAUAAUAUGAGAAACAUCGGCUCUAGAUAGGCACCUCCAUAUCAGAGCAGAGAAAAAUAGCAAGGAAUUGAUGUGUCCCUGACAGAGCUCAGUAGGGCUCUAGCUCCUAGUGGGUCUAGGCUCUUUUCUACAAAACUCCCAUACUCUCAGUCACUCCAGGGGUUGCCUGGAAGCCUAAAUCCUGGGGCAUCUUCCCCAUUCCGUUCACAGCCUUCCUGCCCACUCUCUUAUCCCUUUUCUUUUCUUCUUUAAAACAAUCAUGUGUGUCUCUCUAGCUCCCUCCUCUCAUUGUAUUUGUUGAUGACCUAACACGCUCACACCAAAAGCCACACACAGAAAACCAACAACGUGGGAUGGGAGGAAAGACCAAUUAUGACGGAGGCUAACAAGCAGGGAACACCCAAGUAGAAGCUGGCUGUCUCCUGGGAGACUGAUGGAGGCUUAUUUUACAAGCUGUAAUUCUGUCCUGGUCCCUAUCUCCAGACUGGAAGUGAUGCCUCCACUCUCCUCCCCCUCAUCCCUGUGCCCUUGGGGCCCAGUCCAGAUCUUCCUGCAAAUUCUUCAAGGAGAGUCUCUCUGGACAGGUGAAAAGAGCAGAGGUGCUUUUCAAGCUUGUCUUUAGAGUGGCCUGUUUAAUUUUAACUCAGAGUCAGUUCCUCUCAACACCGAGACAUCAUUGUGACAUCCACAUGAACACAACCUGGAUUCACAUUAAAAAUCUACCCCUCCUGCUGUGUGUUUAUGGUGUGUGUGUGUGUGUGUGUGUGUGUGUGUAUGUAUGUGUAUGUGUGUGUGUGUGUCUGUGUGCACGAGCACAUGCAUACAUACUUGAGGGUUUCAUUUCACUGUUAGAUAAGGCAUCCCAUAGCUAGGAGUGCUAAAAGGAACACCACAGAUUAAGUUAGUUCCAUGCCUGGGUUUAACUCCAUUUUGCUAGUUACCAAAUGCCUCCAGCAAGGUUAGGUAAGGACUUCAGCAACACUGUAUUCUUGAUGCAACACAUUUUUAGCCGGAAGAGAAAUGUCAGCUACUCAAAUCUGUGUAAAGGAGAAGUCUGGAUUUAAUUCAUCGUUCACCAGGGCUUCUUUGCCUACGCUAGAAUUUUGGAACGAGCCUUGCCUUGCGUUGCUUUUAAGUUCAACUUACAUGGUUUAGAACCAUGUUAUUUCCCAUAUGUAAAUCAGUUUUUUCAGUUUCGUUUAUCUGAAAUCAAUAAGAAAGCUUCAAGAAUACACAGAGAUUUUGGGGGGCUGAUAGAUCAUGAGCUAUCCAGACCAAAGUAGAAUUGUCUGUGUGACUGUGAACUUGCUAGCUCCUUAGAAAUAUGAUCUGCACUUACAACUCAAACAGAAUUGUAGAAUGGGUUCCCUUGUCCAUUGUUUGCUUCUGUGAAGGAAAGCAAUGAUUUCCUAAUUUAAAAUUAUGAAUGUUAAAUGUGUGGUCUUUAAAAAUACAGAAUAUAAUUUUGGGAUGUUUGGAGGGAAAGGCUAGGAUGAAGCAGAGGCAUGAGGAGGGUGGGUGGAGAAUUGAAGAGAACCAAGGAAUAGAUAACAUUUUCUAUGAAGGAAUGGGGGUGAAGUGUCUGCCAGGGCAGGACCUGGGCCACAGGGAGUUCUGUAUGGGGGUAAGAAGCAUCUUAAGGAAGAAAUCAAAAUGUCGGGUUAGAAGGUAUAGCUGAGCAAUUAGAAUGCUUGCCUUACACGAGGCUCUGGGUUCCACCUCCAGCAUGGGGCAGAGAGGAAAUAUAAUUUAGUGCUUCAUCUUCUAAAACAACAUACAGUUCUGCUCAAGAGUGUUUACAUUACCUUUUAAAGCUUAUUCUAAAGUAAGACUGACUUCACCAAGUGCUCUCUGCUUCUCCUGCUGUUCCGAUCUACAUCGCUGAGCAGUCCACACACUAAAAGAAAUUGUAGUUUCCUUUCCAUGUCUUGGUGGCUGAGAAAUUUUGCCGCCUUCCAGGACUAUGAAGCCCAUUCCUUGGCAGAAAUCCCUCCCCUUUGUCCUGUUUCUGAUUGUGGCUGCCCAAACCGUGACACCCCCUUCUUGAUUCUUUAUCUCUCUAUUCAGUCCCGCCCCAACUGAGCAGAGCUUCCCAUUUGCCACACACCCGGUGAUAUGUUGUCCUCUCCCAGAUUGGAAGUCAGAAUCUAUGAGUAACAGCACUCCUGGGAUUUAGAGUUCAGGAACUUCCUCAGCACUGGUCUCUCAGAUCUCUGACUAGGCAGGUGAUUUGCAUUUCACCUCACUAGUCGUUCAACUUCCCAAAGCUCCAGACCAUCACAAUGCUAGGAGACACCCCAGAUCCAAAGCAGUAGAGAGCCUGUUUUACCAGAAUACCAGAGUCUCCAAGAGGUUGUCCGAAGUAUCAGGAGAAGGUUGGAAGGGAUGAGAAAUAAAUCUUGGGGACCGUGGGUCAGGACAGCAAAGAUGCUACCAUUUGUCCUAGUAGAGAUUAGGAUAGGAGUGUUCCAGGUUAUGCUUAUUUGUAGUUUUAAAACAGGGUUGUUAAAGGAAUGUGAUCCUUCAAAGCCAACCAGGUCUGGGCUAUGUUUUCUUUGCACCUAAACUCUGGGACAGCGGCUAAGGCAGGAAGGGAGGUGACAGCAAGAGAAUCAGCAGCCAGAUAGAUGGUUCUUGAAUUGUGAUUAGAAAGACAAAAUGCCAGAGAAAAGGAAAAUGUCAGGGGCAGAGACCACUUGCAGGCACGAGGGUGAAAAACAAUCCAAACUGGCAAAUUAUUUCAGAAGUACAGCUUCUCCGCUGGCCUUAUUCUUUGCCAGGAGAUUUUGACAGCAGGGGCCAGGACCGUUCAAAGUCACUCUUGCUUCUGACCUCCCCCUGACCUGCACCUGGUGGCAUGAUGACACAGGUGACAACAGAGGCAUAUUUUAUGCGUCACCCACAUUGGGUCUUUAGUAUUCUGUCCAGCUGACUGAGAAGCAAGACCCCUGACCCCACAGCACUUGUCUUCCUCUGGAGUUACAAACAAAUGCAGAUCUAGUGAACACCUGCUUUCCAGCCCAAGCCCCAAGAUGCUGGCCUCCUAGCCUAGCUUACAUCUACAUGGAGGGAAGAAGUGAUGCUGCAAUGUGAGGACCUGUUGUCUGCAAGGAACCAGCAGCAGGUAGCAUCCUACUGCACAGCAUGUGGGCAUACCUCAUAGUGAGGAUUUAAAGCCUGCUUGCACCAGACCUGAGGACACGAUGGAACUGGGUGACGCUUUCACUCCUCCAAACGGGGAUCUCUCCCUCCACUGCUUUUGACCCCCUAUGUUGACUGCCACGUCUUCCUCUCUUUCCUUGUGGCAUUUCGGGAGGCCCUUACACGACAUGGACAGCUUUUGGAGAAGAACAGAGUCUACAAUCAACUAUACUUUCUCACUCUAAAUGGGUGAUCUGAUGUCAUAGAUUAAGAAGGGAACAUUCGAUCCGUGUAAAUGGAACCUUCUGAAGACACUGCGAACAGAAAAGAUGCCAUUUGUGGACUGAUCGUGGGGUGGACGAGUGGGGGAAGGGUACCCAAGCUAUACUUUUUUUAAUUAACACCCCUCUCUGACUAGCAGAAUUUGACAAUUAAAGGCCAAUCUCUCUUGAUUUCUUUGCUUUAAAAGGACAUUCGAUUCACCCAGGCAGGUAAUUAAAUCCCCCUCAAGCCUCUCCCUUCCCAGAGCUUUGAACAAGCUGAGUCCUAUCUUCUCUAACAUCCAGCGUGAUCUCGGGCAGGGAGCUGAGCUCAGGUAUUCACUAGUAGUUAUCAGAAUACCAGACUCAUUUAGGGAGAUCAACCCUAGACCCCAAGCCAACCCUCACUAAUAGUAGAAAACACUGUCUAGAUUUUGUUGUGGCUGGGCGUAUAACUAACAGGAACUACAGAAUUUCUCCCUGGAAGACAUUGGGACUCAUCUCCCUCCCCUCUGCCACCCCACGUCCCAUCUCUUUCCUUCCCUCUCCCUCCCUGUCCCUCUUGGUCCCCGCUUUUCUCUUCCCCUUUCCUCCCCUCUCUACCCUUCCUUCCUUCCCUUCUUCCUCCCCUCCCUCCCCUUCUCUCUUCUCCCUCCCUCCUUACUCUCCCCCUACCUCUUGAAGGGACGUCUAGAUCGCACUCCCUUUACUUUAUAUCACAUUUAGUUAACUCUCUCCUUCCAGCAGCCAGGCACUUGAGGGGUAGUAAACCUUCAUCUUAGGGGUUCACAAGACCCUCAGUCUGAAAGGAAAAUGCCACUUUGCACCUUCUAAUCUGCGACCUUUCCUGGUUAAAAUACUCACUAGGAAUUUCUAGGUUCCUCUCCAUCCCAUCCCCAGAUCCUAGACCCUACAGAAUUUUCUCGGUUUGGCUUUUGAUAACCUUGUUGCAGAACAAAAUUGGGUGUGUGUGUGUGUGUGCACGAGGCACAUCUACAGUCCCCACUGUAUUUGAACAAGCCAAUCUCAGGUCUUCCAAUCAGAUUAUUUGGGAAGUGGGGAAGAUUAAAAAAAAAAAAACCUGUAACGUCACUCUCUGUGCAUUGCAUUUUAAUGCUUAACAAGAUCCCACUUACUCCUCAGUUAAGAAUGGAAAAGAGAGAGAGGUUUGAUGCUCAAUAUUGCCAGCUAUCAGCAAGUAUCUGAAUAGACACUGUUGUCGUGGGGCCGGUCCUUCCGGCUCUACCUUAGGCUCGCCAGAAGGAACUGUGCUGGGGAGGUGUAUACACUGCCAUCUGUUUGUGUAAAGUAGAUCUAAUUGCCAGCCAACCAGAGCAAUAUAAAAAUUUAGUGCAAGCCCUAAAGGAUUAUAACUUAAAAUUCAAUAAUUGUGCUUCAGAAAACUACGUGUGUGAGCUUCCCUCAGUAAUGCACAGUUAGCCUGGAAAGGACGAUGUAUUUUUUUGUUUGUAUUACAUUUGUAAGCUUUCUCCUUCAAGGUAGGCAUAAUAAAAAAAUGGAUUUUUUCAUAUUUAUCUAGCCUCCAUCCACAGGAUAAACGAUAUUUUUCAAAUUAGAUCACCUCAACUAUAUUCAUGGGUUGGCAUAAUCAGUUAGCCAUACCAAAAGCACCUUCAAGUCUCAUCAGUUUUAAAUCAGUUCUUCCCAGGACGAUAAAAAUCCUAGUUUUUUAAAAAGUUAACAUUGCUCAUGAAAUAACUAGUUAACAAUAAAAGUAAAAUAACAUUUUCAACUUCUAGAUUCCUAGAAUUUAAACUAGAAGCAGUUUGACUGCAUGGUAUAUUCCACAGCAAUGGACACACACACACACACACACACACACACACACACACGAAGAAAUGAAUGAUGAGGAGGCUUAGGAUGUAGCUAAGCUAGUAGAGUGCUUGCCUAGCAUGGGGAAGGUCCUGGGUUCAAUCCCCAAGACUGUAAUAAAAUAAAAGCAACAUAUUGUGUUUAGAAAAAUAGAAGAGUAGCUUCUGAUAAAAACAAUUUAAAAAAAAUUUAAAGUAGCCCCGGGAAAAACCAACACAUCGAGUUUCUUUGCUCUUUUCUUUUUGAAGUAUGGUUUUCAAAGAAGUUACAAAACCGCAUUUGGAAUUUUAACAUUUUGUGUCAAUCUAUCCGAAUGUUUGACAGUUCUCAACUAUUUCUUCUCAUGGUGUCUGGAGGGUAGCAUAUCCUGAGGCAUACAGAGAAGAAAGGCUUGGCUGCCUUCACACUGGCGUUUGAUGGCACUGUCACGGCCACUUGUCACAUUCUAUUCUCUGUGUUGCUGGCCGCACUAGGUACGUUUGGUAGGAAUAAAACGAAUCACGAUGCUGCUUCAUUUUAUGUUGUUUUCUUAACUGCAUGUUUGACCAAACAGGUCCAUGAUGGGAACUAAACCAUUCUUGCAAAGCUUUUUAGAACUAUUUCUUAACACUUGUCUUUCUAGGGCUAGAAAGCUACAGUAAGACAUUGCUGGAGGCAGCGGGUUUAUUUGUUACUUUUAGAUUGUUUAGAAAACUCCGGUACAGCAUCGAAAUGUUUCUCAACAAAACCACAAAUGUUAUCUAUGGGAGGAAGAUUCGUUUUCUUUUCCACCUCCCUUCUCUUCCGCACUGUGAGCCGGCUUUCCCCUCGAAUCUUUGCUGUACUGAUCCGCAGGACUCACCUUUAUUUACUAGCCCACCACUCCAGAAGCCCAGGCAAGGCCAGGCUACGCUUUGCAAAAUAAUUUAGGGGAAAUUUAGUGAUAUUUUUAAACUCAUGCAGUAAAGUCCCAUGACACUGAGACAAGUGGCAGAAGUUCUGUUUGCUGCAAGCGGCAAAAAGAACUCCACAACCUAUUGGUGUUUACAUGUGUAUUCAGCCAUGAAAUUGAAUAUUAUCAGAGUUGAAAAAUGCAAAUCAAAUUAAAAGCAGAGAAAAUUGCCUUUGGAAUUAUAGUACCCAGGAGCUCCAGUGUUUGCUUACUGCAUGGAAGCACUAUUAAAUAAAAAAACCAAAAAAACCAACCCUCCCCCUCCCCCCAAAAAAACAAAAAACAAAAAGCCAAAAAAAAAAAAAAAAAAAAAGACAGUGUCUAAAUUGUCCUCCUAAUGUUGUCUCCCAUUUCCAUCGACUCAUUCUUUAGUUUUACCAGGAAAUAAUGUUCAUGCUGAGUUACACACCAUCCACAAUUACAACAAAUCACUUCCACAACAUCUCUUUUCUUAAAUAUCAAAUUGCCCUCGUUUAGCCACGCGUCCCUAAAAUCAAGCCUCCUUCAGCAUCCCCGAUUCCCACUUCGACCUUAGCUAAACUGAGCUGACCGCGUGUGUUCUAGGCGCAUGGCGGGAUGCUGGGGACCCGGGCUUUAAAAGCCGCGCAAAGGGUUCGAAGCACUGCCGCGAGCCAGGACUCGGAAACUGCGCCGGUGCACUGGCCGAACGGAGCCGCCCAGUUGUUCCCAUCUCGCGGACCGCUAGCUGCAGAGCUGAGCCAACGUGUCUGAGAGUCAGCGGGCCCAGGUGUAACGCUUCUCUCCCUCUGCUCUCACAACCCAUAGUGGGACUCUGCAGGGCCAAACGGAAAGAGAAAAACCCGCCAAGUAUGGGGGAGGGGUAAAUAGAAGAGCUAGACAAACCAGGACGCGGCAGGUGAGCGAGGUGACCUUUGGGCCCGUGAUCCAAGUUCUAGAAUGUGGGGAUCCCACCCUAGACAACCUGAUAGCUAGCCUGGAGACACCGGACCUACUCCACUGCCCCCACAGUGGGCACAACACUGCUUCUCUCCCACCCCUCCCCUAUGUCUUUGGGUCUCUGGGUCUUGUAUCUCUUUACUUCAGAUGCCAAGGUCAGCAGAAUUCAGAGACAGCCUUGGGCCAAGUGUGAGCAAGACCAAGGUUAGGAAUUGCACAGCAAGAUGGCUUUCCCAACUCCACCAUGGCUAGAGCCUCCUCUGCAGGGGCUGAAGCCCAUUGACCUUGGCUUCAUUUGGAUACAUUUCAAGGGCAUUGAAGUUUAUCCUGAGGAUCCUAAAUGGUGGAAGAAUACCUCUCAAGAGAUGGAAAGAUUCUAAGAGCCAGAGGGAAUGGAUGACUCCAAGGAACAGGACUGAUGAUCACAUGAACUCUCAGAGGCUAUAACAGCUUCUACCAGGCCUGUAUAGGUUCAAGCCGGAUGGGUUUCCAGCACUGAGAGGAGAAUUGGACAUGGGCUUCUACUCCAUACUAAGAAGCUCUCUGCAACUGAUGUUGACUUGCAAAGGAAAAUAGUUUUCUCCAAUGAAGUAUCACUGGGUAUAUUAGCCAUAUUUCAAGGUGCUUACAGAAUAAUGGUCAUGCUACAGAGAACACAAGAACUGUAAUUAAACAAAAGUCAUAUUUAUCCAGCAGAAGACCUGUAUAACCAUCUGUAACUCCACUUCUGAUCCAGUGCCUUCUUUAUGACCGCCAUAGGCACCAGGUAUGUGCAUGACACACUUCCAUACAUCCAAUAAAACAAGCACACACCAAAAAUAAAAUAAAUCUAAAAUAAUAAAAAGUAAACAUGUUACCAUCUAUGAUCAGCAGUUGAGUUCUUACACAUUUCUGCCCAAAGGGAUGAAGGCUUAUAUUCCCACAAACACCUUUGUGCAAAUUAGUUUUAAUCAUGACAGCCUCAAGCUGAUACAAUGUGCAUGCGUUUCAAUGUCAUUCAAUAUUCAUGAGUGACAUUAGAUACAAUGUGAUAAAUCAUAUCAUAGGAUACUACUGGGCAAUAAAAAGGAAAACCAGGACUGAAAAAAUGUCUCAGUCACUAAAAUAUAUAUAUAUGUAUAUAUAUUAGCAUAUAUAUCUAAUAUAUACGUAUAUUAUAUAAACAAAAACUAUUGAUGGUUUCCAGAUAACUGUAUUGAAGCAGAAAAUUUUGAUCUUCAAAUAUACCAUAAUGUGUGACUCCAUAUAUGCAACAUUCUUCAUAUGUAAAUGAAAGAAAUGGAGGACAGUUUAAAAGCUGCUAGUAGUUAAGGAGAGGGCAGGAUGGGAAAGAAACUAGUGGCUGUGACAAUUUGUAGUGUCCUUUGUUUCUUACUGUGUCUUCUUUAUGCCUCCCCCAGGUAUUGUGCAUUUUCUUCUGAAUUGCUACCUAAGGAAGUACAUUUCUUAGUAUUCAAAGCAACUUGUGAGGAUGGUUGAUGCCUCUUCUAGGCACAGGGCGUCCCACACAUUCAUAGCCAGCAUAACAGUGGGGCUCUUGUGAGCCCCACAAAGGGUUGGGUUCCCAAGGGGAGCCUGCUUCCUUUGUGAAAGUGUGGGGAGGGAAGCGAUAUGGUGUUAAUCAAUACACCCAGUGAUAAAUGUUUAUCUUGAGCAGAAAGCAAAUAAAGGCGGGUUAGCGAGACCUUUAUUGCCUGCUGUGGAGACAGAUCCACCUACAGCGGCUGGAGUCUUUUCUAGGUCAUGCAGCAGAAAAGUUGAACAACCGUUUUCAUUUUUUUUCCCGAAGUGCUAGGAUGUAGAGGAAAAUCUUUGCCAACCAUAAUAUGUAGUAUUUAUAGAUUCUAAAAGUUUCAUGAAUGGUUUGUGUUUCUCAAAAUGGAAAACUACGUUAAGUCCGAAGCCUAGAUUGAAAGCAUGCGGAGGCAUUAUAUGUGGGCGUUAGGAAUUAAGACUAGCUUGAGAAUCUUAGAGAUGUUCUCCUGUCUACACCUUUUGGGUUUUUUAACUCUCUAGGGCUCCUCUGGACGACUAGUUGAAACAUAACAUGGUAGGUCCUGCUUCUGAAUACCUAGCCCAGGUCAGGCUCUUGCACUGGGAGUCAAGAACUGGAAACAUUUGUGACAAGUUCCCAGCUGCCACUGUUCCUGGUCAAAGGACCCUGCUGUGAGAAUCCCUGUUGGAAGGCACAGGCCCAGGCUAUUUAGUUUGAUGUCCUUAUACCUGGAGAACUCACGGUUGUUAUUGAGAAGGAGUACACUUGCUGUUUCAUAAUUUUUCUGACCUGAGGAGAAUUGCCAGACAGCUGGAGUGUGGUUCUGUAUUUGGCAGCAACUGGAGUAGCCCUGGAAGGGCAAAGAGCAAAGAUGCGACAUCAGGCAAGAGUUGCCGUGAGGUAAAGAGACAGACUGACUUAGCACAGGAGAAUAAGCCCUUGACUCGUGAGACUGCUUGAAAUCUUAUUGAGGAUCUUUUUAAAUUUACGAAGUUUAUCGAGAAAACUAAAGCCAUUUUCUUUACCAUUUUGGCAAGGAAACUCUACUCAAAAAACCACACGUCUGUAUUUAUUUAUGUGUGGAUAAGUAUGUUGGUGCAUAUACUUGCAUGUGAGGAAGUCAGAGGACAACUUGAGGGAGCCAACUCCCUCUAGGCCCCAGGGACCAGACUCAGGUAGUCAAGACAACUGGAAAACUCCUUUACAUAUGUCAUCAUUUUGCUAGGCCUCUACAUUAGCCUCAGACACACAUGAAGUGGGAAGGAAGGUGGCGGCUUCCAAGGACUCUGUUAAAAUGGCGGUGAGGAGAUGGAUUCAGGGAGCAUUUUUACUCCCUGCACAAUAGAACAUCACACCUAGAAAUGAUCACUCUACCCUGUGCCCACGAACAAGGAUUCUGGAGUAAUGAAGAAACUUGCAGGAUGAGAGACUUGUGUAGCAGAGCCAACACAGCCUUCCUGAGCAAGUAGAACCCCGGAUGAGAUGUCACUGUCCCUGGAAGAGUGAUUCAGUACAAACUUCAGGGGGAUCAGCUUUUACAGUGCUGAUCAGCUGUGGAGGACAGGGAAGGUGGAGGAAGCAGAGCUUGGCAAAGAGCACGCUGAGCUACGCUGCAGCUUAUAGGAGGCGAAUAUAAAUGCCUCUGUGGUUGAAUCCUGCCAGGAGUGUGUGUGUGUGUGUGUGUGUGUGUGUGUGUGUGUGUGUGUGUGUGUGCAAGCUUUGUCAGCAUUGUUCUACAUGUUUGAAACCUUGGGUACAAAGAUGCUUUGGUUGAUCUUUUGCUGCAGUGAAAGGUCUAACAGGAUCAACUGAGAGGAAAAAAGCUUUCUUUUGGCUUAUGGAUUCAGUGUUUCAGUUUCUCAUUAGAAGGGAAAAGCAGGAAAGGGGCUUGGUUUUCUUGCCCCCUAGCCAUCAUAUUCUGCCAGAGAGGUUUCACCUUCUAACGGUGCCACUGCCUUCAAAUAAGUACCAGAAGUUGAGGAACAAAUAUUCAAAAUUUGAAUCCAUGGGGGACAUUUUAGACAUAAAUUUUAAGACUGGCUGCAGGGAAGAGAAGAUACUUGGUAGCACUGUCUCUAUUUCCCAAGCAAAUAAAAAGAUCUCUUGCAGAAUCCCACUCUGAUAAAAGGAUCCAGCAUAAAUUGAUUUCCCAUGGUUCAAAAGCCUUUAUUCAAAAUUACCAUUGAUCUUGAAUAUAAUCUCUGUCCUGGAAUAAGUGAGCCAAGAGCUAAAGGGAAUUCCUUUCAAUUUAGGGAAGAAACAUGAAUAAUUCUUACUGAAAUAAAUAAGACAAAAAUAUUUAUAGGAGUUAUCACAGAUUCUUUUUUUUGUCCCCCCUCCCCGUUAUCACAGAUUCUUAAGCAAAGGCUGUUUUUUAUUUCCACAAAUCUAUUUGUUUUUAUAUACUAUAGCAAUGCACUCCUGGAUGUUAGCAGGACCUUGGUUAUUGAUGUAAAGAACUACAUUUCACAGCAUCCUUUGGACCUAGCCAUGUGUCUAGGGUCUGGCCAGGAAGAUCUACAAAGAAGAGUUUCAUAAGAAAUCUUUUCAUUAAAGACUGUUGAUCUGAGCUGGGCACAGUAGCUUCUGCCAGUAAUCUCUGUAUUUGAAAAGCAGAAGCAAGAGGAACAGAGAGAUCAAGGUUAGCCCAUAAUACACAGUGAGAGUCUUGUCUCAAACAAACAAAUACACGUUAUAGGUCUAUCAUCUUGCCUGGCUAAUGCCAUCUUGGAUUAUAAAGACAGAACAUAGCAUAGAGAUAGCUGAUAAGUUAGUGAGUUGAGAAGGGCUUCAGAAAAUAUGUAGAGCAAAGCCUGCAUCCACAGGCAAGAAUAAUACACUGUUUCUUUUGUAAAUAGUUUUAGAUCUCUCCUACUUACAGUUAAACUCCAUCCUAAGUAACAAAAAUGCAUGGUGUGUGUGUGUGUGUGUGUGUGUGUGUGUGUGUGUGUGUGUGUGCGCGCGCGUGUGAGUAUGUGCAUGUGUGUGUAUUUUGGACAGGAGAAAUGCCUUCCUCCAAAAGGACAUAGCUUUCUCACAUACAGGAAACAGGUGAUUCUUAUUCUCCUCUAGACACGCUUUUCUUUUCCAGGCUUUUUGGUGCCAAUAUUAAGUAUCUUUUAAGAUGUCCUAUAUAGUUUGGAAUUCAGAAGCAGCAGUGCAUCAUUUAGAUGUUAAUUACAUUUAAACCAAUGGCACUAUAAGCAAAGCACACGUCUGGAAUAUGUUUAAAACAUACGGGCAUUCAUCUACAAGGGGUUAUUAAUUUUACACUUUCCAUCUGGAACCCAUGAAGCAGCCAUUCUCUGAGAUACUAAAGAUCCAAGGUCACGCAAAAACAUACAUUUGCAUGAACACCAAGGUCUGGAGAAGUUUGAAGUUAUCUGGCCCCAGCAAUUCUGAAAAGAUAAUAUUGUAGCCUGCUCUCUCAUUUGCAUAGUUAAAGCUAUGCGUGGCCAAGAAACUCAAAACAUUAUGCCUAAAAGCCAUUUGGAAAAUGACUGGGUUUAGAGAAUGGUAUUUAAUCUGCCUUUUUUUUUGUACCUGCUAAUUGUCUUUCCAUUAUUAGCAAACUAAGUGUCAGAAGACAUUAGUGUAAACUAGUUGGGGAGGGUCAUGCUGGGAGGUUAUACUGACCCUGAGUGGUGAAAAACUUUGUGGUUUAAUAUUGGUGUCACACUGACCUGGUGAACAAGAAGUACACAUGUAAAAGAAAAGCCAAGAAAACAAAAACAAAUGCUUAAGUGUUAAGACAAAUUCUUUUUUGUUCAUUUGUUUGGAAACAGAGUCUCUCUAUGUUGACUGGGCUGACCUGGAACUUGCUCUGUAGACCAGGGUGUACUCAAUCUCUUUGAGAUCCAUCUACCUUUGCCUCUUAAGUACUGGGAUCAAAGGCAUGCGCCACCACCUCCCCACCCGGUAAGACAAUUUCUAAACAUGGGAUAGAGUAGACGUUUAACUUAGCCUGCUUGGACCUCACCAGGGUCACCUUUCCAAGUGCUGACUUCUCUGGAUCGUGAAUGCUUUUCCUUCCAAUAGCCCAGACUCCUUUACUACACAGGAGAAAGAUCCAGAAAUGCCCCAGAGCUACACAUACUCUAACAGGGCCCUGUAGCCUGUCAGCAAAGGGACUCAGAGGAGAUGAACCCCACAUCAUGAUGGAGGUCUGGGGUACCACAUUACCUAGUUCUCCUGCUUCAUCAGGAUGAAGCCACCAUCCUGUUACCUUUCCUGAAACAUCCCCAUUACAAUCUUUUCCUUCUUCCUGGCUCACUUAUGGCAUACUGUUUGCUGUAUCAGGGUCUUUCUGGGUAAACUGGGGUACAUUUGUUUUGUGUUUUAGACAAGUGAUUUCUCCCUAUGUCCUUGUCUGAAAGUUACAGGCAAUUGCUCCCCUCUAUUCUGAGGUUGUUCUGAGGUUUAGACAGAUCAUUGUGUAGCAUACAUCCAAUGUCUGAGAUGCAUUUAGGGCAGAACCAAUUUUAUUCAAAGGGUGCUGAUGAGGUCAGGGGCUGGGGGCUGGGACUCUUGAGUUCUCUGCAUCUUUCCCUCUUUAAAGUUGCUUUUAGAACAAGUUGAAAUUGAUCAGAAAUCUGCUUAUAGGUUGGUUUGCUGUUUUGUUUCUCAGUAGGACAAAGCCUUACAAAUGCAAAGCAUGUGCUCUGUCCUGGGCUACCCUCCCCGCUCCUUUACUGUGUUUCAUUGGUCUUCUGGUUGGAUUGUAAAGUAUUGGGUGACAGACUGUACCUGAGGUGACUAACUAUCUCAGAGUUCCGGAAAUGUUCUGGUUUUAGCUUUGAAAACUUAGACUUAAGGAAACACCCCAGGUCAAGAAAUCAAGAUGGCUGCCGUACUACAUUGUUUUUUGCUUGUAUUUCCAUCUCCCUGUCUAAGCAUAACAGCUGGCAUAGAGCGUGCAGUCAAGAAGAAUUUGAGCAAGUACCCAUGGAAGAACAUGUGUGACCUUUGGCUGUUGUCUUUCCUUAGGAAACUGUUCAUUGACCUGAAGGUCAGUUAAAAUGUCCUUGCACAGACUUAAGAUACCUACACCUUAAACCUUGGUUGUACUGUGUGAUAUGGUCAAGGGUCACAGUGUGAAUAGAAUUAAUGUUGUUAGGAAACUCACUCUUUAAUAUGCAGGUGAUCUUGGGCAGUUUAGGUAGGACCCUGGUAACCACAAGGCCCUUGUAGGCAGAAAUGAGGCAGUUCAGAGGUAGAGGUGACUGUAAGGGACAGAGGAGAGGAGGGAUGAAAUUCUCACUACCUUUCUUUGACCUUGAGUGUGAAAGAAGGGCGACAAUCAAGCAAUAUAGGCACUUUUUAGAAUACUGGGAAAGGAACAAAACGAGUAUGCCGCUGGAGUCUCUGUAGAGGAAGCUAUCCAUCUGUGUCUCAACAUUCCACAGAGACCCAUGCUGAGUUGCAGAAACUAGGAAAGAAAGUUGCGGUUUAUACCACUGUGCUACUUUGUUACUGCAGCAAGAGAAGACUCGUACAGACUUCAGAAUCUUUCGGAAAUUGUAUCAACUUUCCAUAAUAGAUUCUUGCCCUCCACACAACACCAUCUCCUCAUACUUUGACCUGCAGAUGAAUAACUGUAACUCUGACCCUGAGCCAUGUUCUGACCCAAAGCAAGAUGGGGUUUUGAGGAAGAUCAAAGUGAAGCUAGGGGUUCUCAGAAGGACUGGCCACCAGACAGGCUCAGGGCUUUAUAGAACAAGAGCCUUGGGUGAAAAUCACAUGUCACAGAGAGAGGAGUCAGUUUCUAGCAUCAGAGAGCACAAACCUGGGAAGAUAAGAAAAGGUGGCAAUCACUAAAUUUUAAAAAUAAAUUCUUGUUAGUGUAGUUAAUGUAGUUAAUAUAUACUUUUUUUCAGUAAUUAAUACCCAUAGUUCAGUUAGUAAUUUUUCCACAUAUAGCAUGCUGCCUGUAUGAAAUUGAACUCUAAAGUUAAUUUCUGAGCAGAUUCCUUCUGUCAUAUGCAUAGCAGAGAUGAAAUUUGUUCGCUACGUCGACAAAUUAGGGAAGUUUCACAAGCCAAAAAAUAAAUAAAUAAUGCCAGUUUAAAAAUAAAAGAUACCAAUCACUAAAUUUUAAAAAUAGAUUCUUGUUUAGCUAGUAUAUAAAACAAUGGGUUUUAUUAUUUAUAAAAACUUAUUUAAUAUCAGUUUAUUCAAUAUUUAAUAAAUAAACACAUAUUUAUUUAAUAUCUGUAAAUAUUAUUAUAUUGUUACAUUUAUUUUUACACACAUGUAGUCAUAUGUUGCUCAUGUUUACUUCUCUUUAUUACACUCUCUUGGCCCUUUCCCCACCACCCACAGGUAUCCUAUCUUCUCCCGAAAGUCCUAUUUCUGUUUUCAUGCCUCGGUGAAUUCUAUGGCAUCUGCAAGCAUUUACAGUUCUACUACCGGUGUAUAAGGCUUCUUUUCCAUAACACUUGUUGCUCAUUUCCUCGUCAUUCUAACUAGGAUCCUGAUGGCUAAGAAUAUUGAAUUUUUUUCAAAUAUUUAUUAGACUUUUUUAUUUCUUCCUUUGAGAAUUAUCUUUUAAAUGCAGUUGCCCACUUAUUGAUUGGAUGAUUUAUGUCUUGUUUUAAACUUUUUGAAUUCUUUCUAUAUACUGGUUUAUCCCCUCCCAUAUAUAUAGUGGUGAAGAUUUUCUCCCAUCCCAUAGGCAGGCUGUCUCUGUCUGCUGUGGUUUUUGUUGUUAUUGUCAUUUGUGAUGCAGAGUACUUUAGUUUUACAUUAUCCUGUGCAUCAUUUUUUGCAAUUAUUUCCUGAGCUAUUGCAGUUCCUUUAAGGAGGUCCUUACAAGCCUGUUUCUAUAAGUGUUUCCCUAAGCAGUUUGAGUUUUAGAUGCUGAACUGAGACAUUUGGCUUAUCUGAACUACAAUCUGUGCAGGGCCAGUGUUAUUCUCCUACAGGUAGGUAUUUAAUUUUCUGAGGAGCAUUAUUGGAAUGUAUGGUUUGGUCAUUUUGUUGAAAAUCAGAUGACUUUACUGCAUGGAUUUAUUUCUGGGUAUCCUAUCCUAUCCUACCCUACCCUACCCCAUCCUGUUCUACUGAUUCACACAUCUGUGCCUGUGCUGGUAUCAUGGUGGGUGUUUUUUUUUUUUUUUGUUGUUGUUUUUUUGUUUUUUGUUUUUUGUUUUUUUUUUUUGUUUGUUUGUUUUUUUGGUUCUUUUUUUUCGGAGCUGGGGACCGAACCCAGGGCCUUGUGCUUCUGUUUUUUUUUUUUUUAACUAUGACUCCGUAGUACAAUUUGAAAUCAGGUACUGUGUUAUCUCCAGCAUUGCCCUUUGCUUAGGACUGCUUUAGUUAGUCCAUAUCCUUUACAUGUCCUACAUAUUGUAAGAUUAAUUUUUAUAUUUUUGUGAGGAAUGGCAUUGGAAUUUUGAUAGGGAUUGUAUUGACUCAGUAGGUCACUUCUGGUGAUGUCAGUUCUGCCAAUCUAUGAGUAUGAAACUUUUCUUUCUUUUCUUUUUUAAAAUGUAUUCACUUUACAUCCCCAUUGCUGCUUCCUCUCCAUCCCCCUGCAUCCCCUCUUUCAUAGUUUCUCCCUUCAUUCCUCCCUCUGCUUCUCCUCUGUGCAGGGGCUUCAUUCUCUUCACUCUCUUGACCUCUGGGACUCUUUACUGUCUCUCUCCCUAUUGAUCCUGCCCUCCCAUUCCCCUCCCCACCCUUCUCCCAUCCAGUUCCUUCCCUCUGCCACCUAUGACUAUUUUGUUCCCCUUCUAAGUGUGAUUCAAGCAACCUUGAUUGCGCCCUUUUGUUGACUUUCUUUGGGUCUGUGAGGGGUGUAUCAUGGUUACUCUGUACUUUAUGGCCAAUAUCUACCUAUCAGUUAGUACACACAUGCAUGGAUGCAUGUCCUUUGCUGUCUAGGUUACCUCAUUCAGGAUGAUAUUUUCUAGUUCUGUCCAUUUGCCUGCAAAAUUCAUGAUGUCCUUGUUUUUAUUAGCUGAAUAAUAUUCCACUGUGUAAAUGAACCACAUUCUGUAUCCAUUCUUUGGUUGAGGGACAUCUGGAUUGUUUCCAGUUUCUGACUAUUACAAAUAAAGCUGCUAUGAGCAUAGUGGAGCAUGUGUCUUUGUGGUGUGGUGGAGCAUAUUUUGGGUAUAUGCCCAGGAGUGGUAUAGCUUGAUCUUCAGGUAUAACUAUAUCUAAUUUUCUGAAAAACCUCCAGAUUGAUUUCCAAAGUGGUUGUACAAGUUUCUAAUCCCACUAGCAGUGGAGGAGGAGUGUUCCUCUUUCUCCACGUCCUCACCAGCAUGUGCCAUCGCUUUCGCUUGAGUUUUUGAUCUUUGCUACUCUGAUAGAUGUAAGGUGGAAUCUCUGGGUCAUUUUAAUUUGCGUUGGUGACUAGGAAUGCUGAGUGUUGAGCAUUUCUUUAAGUGCUUCCUGGCCCUUUGAGUUUCCUCUCUUGAGAAUUCUCUGUUUAGCUCUGUGCCCCAUUUUUAAAUUGGGGUAUUUGGUUUGUUGGUGUCUAACUUCUUGAGUUCUUUAUUUUAAAUAAGGAUCAUAUCAUGUGGCUAGGGACACUUUGACUUUUUCAUUUCUUACUUGUGCCUUCUUCAUUCCUUUUUCUUGACUUUCUACUUUAGACUUGAUGCACAGGAUGCUGGCUGGUAUGAUAGCUCAGCAGUUAGGAGCACUGGGUGUUCUUCCAGAAGUACAGGCCUGAUCCCUAGUAUCCACGUGGUGGCUCAUCACCAUCUGUUCCAGGGGAUCCAGUGCCUUUUCUUAUCCUCUUGGUUGAAUUUUGGAAGCUUAAAACUGUUUGUGUAUAAUAUCACUGUGAAGUCCUUUAUAGUGUCUCUUCACGGCUCCCCCUGGUAGACUUGGAGCUAGUGCCAAUUGUCUCCUAUCAGUUGAUUCUGGGGUCCUCUCAGCUCAAGGUCUCCCUGAAACCUCACUUGCAGGAUGGAUAGCAAGUAUUAGGACAGACAUUUGUAGAACUCAUCGGAGCAGCUCAGAGAUUAGUUUCUUUUUCACUGGGGCACAAGAUGUGGCCAGGUGCAAAACCCCAAGAGAAGCAGCCAAACAGAAUGCCCGGAGCUGAGCUGGUCCACCUAGAGUUACAAAAUGUCCUUAUUUUAUAAGAACUUAUGGUCCACAACUCUGUGUGUCCAGGGCUCACAGACACAUGACAAUAUGUCAAGAACAUUUUCUCAGGGAAAUCAGGUAAGGACAGGGAGGAAAAAGAGCAGGAAGAACUGAAGCCCAGACGCAUGUUAUUUCAUAGCUGUCUGUGGGCAUUGUCAUCUGGCCCUGUGCAUGCUAAUAGACAUAUCCUUCAUCUAUCUCAAGACAAGGUCACAUUGCUUUUACAUGCUCCCACUGCCAACCACUGACUAGAGUGUGAUGCAGGGGUAUGUGCCUGCAGGUCCUUCUGGAGUCUAUAUGAAGGGGCAAAGAUGAAACUCCAAAACAAGCAAUGGUGAUGUCAUUUCUCCAUGGAAGUGAGAGCAUCCAUUGAUCCUUAUCAAUCCACUGUAUGGAACCCAUAGGACUGUGAGCUCACACACUGUCAGACUCUGGGUGGGGAGGUCAAACUCUGAGGAUCUUAUUAUCCUCUUGACUUGGUUGUAACAGUGCAAAGUCAAAUAGUAAGUAAGACACGUGUUCAUCUCACUGUAGGCACGAUUCUCUUUGUUAGAGUUCAGUGUCAUAGGUUGGAAAAGGAACACACACACACACACACACACACACACACACACACACACACACACCAUCACUGUUACACAGAAACAUCAGUAAGUUUAAUUGCAACAUAAAAGGGCUGGUUUGACUGCUUUCUCGCCAACGAUUCUAAGAUCUAGUAAGAAUCGGGGUGAGGCAGGCAGACAAUUAAUGAGGUCUGCCAUGUGUGAAUUCUGAGGGUUAAAUGGGUGUGGUCACUUAGUCAAGGGCUAGGGAAUGGGAGAGUAGAGCUCAGUCAGGUAGAUCCCAUUCCUGCUUUUCUCUGUUGAUCAGAGCUCACCUGGGUGGGUUUACCCUACCAUCUGCACCUUUAGCUCAGCUCACUGGUCAAGAAAACCUUGCCUUUUUCUUUUUUUUUUUUUUAAUUAAAAAAACGACUUCCUCUUUCUCCCCUUCCUCUCCCAUUUUCUCUUACUUUGGCGCUCAUAGGUUUUUAUUCUAUAAACACUCUGUCGUCUUUGUGACAUGGACUCAUUCAGGACAUGUUUACAGUACUUAAUGACAUCUCCCUGAGAAAUAAUGAGAAUGCCUUUAAAGGUUGUCUUCUUCCCGUGCGUGCAGCGGGACGGCACGCCAGGCCUACGAGAUGAGAGCCGAGGGUCUGGCAGGGGGAAAAUUGACUUAAUUUCUUUUCACCACAUGAAAUGGGGUGUCUGGGAGAGAUGACCUAAAUGCAGAGCCUAAAAACCAAUUAAUUCUGAAUUGUGAAUUUGUGAGCGCAUCAAGCUGUGUGCAGAAUUUCCGAUGAGGCAGACGACGCAUACCUGGCUUGUUUGCGAAAUGUGAAGAAUUUUCCACCUAAAUACACCUAAUGGUCUGUUAUUAAAGCACAGCUUCAGUCCUGUCACACUCCAGCUUGUAGACCUGCAUCAGUUUCUCAUGAGAUGCCAGUUCAGCCUUCAGCCUGACUGCUGAUGCUGGGUGUUACUGCUCUGGUCUCCCUAGGGUUGGCUGAACGCUUUCUCAGGGUCCUUUGUAUGCUACUGUCACUGUUAUAAAGUCAGGCUGUGUGUAGCAAUCCACAUCCGUCCUUGGCAUCUUAGGAUCAGACAAAGACUGGUCCACAUUCCCUAAGAAGGCUCCUGGUGCUCUGCUGAUGUUCAGUCCAUUCAUUCGGAUGUCUCUGCUAUGAUAUCAACCCGAUUCUACCACAUCUGGGUUAACUCAUCAAGGGCUCCCUGAGUUGGCUUUGCAAGGGGUACCAAUUUGUGUGUGUGGAACAAAAAUGAGUCAGAUACAGCACAUACUCCAAGGACUACAUAAGAAAUCGUGAGGUAUGAAUAGAAGUAAUUGCCAUCACCCCAGGUUAAAUUCGGUGACCUUUAAUAAAAUCGUAAGACAAGAGAGGGAGGGCUCAAACAUGGGGAGGUCUGUGGGGGGGGCAGGGAGACAGAGACAGAGAGAGUGACUGAGAGAUGGACAGACACACAGACACACACACAGAAUUUUCUGUCUACUGGAUGGUAGAGUGUGAGGUAUGUGAGUGAUCUGUUGGACAACACAUGAACACAUGUAUGCUACAUGUUUAGUCUGCUGGGUGGAGGGACAUGAGGUGCUUAAGUGUGUGAGCUAUGUGUGGAUGGGUGGCAUGUGUGAGUUGUGUGCUUGCUAAGUGUGGGUAUAUGAAGUGUGUGCUUGCAAUUGUGUUUGUGGGUGUCCUAUGCGUCUACUGUAGGGUAGGAUACGAGUUGUGUAUGAGUUGUGAGUGUGGUGGGUGGCAUGUAUGGGAUAGUCAUGUACGUCUGCUGGAUGUGGGGAAUGUGAUUUGUGAUUGUAUGACUUUGUUAGGUGGGUAACUGUUGUCUGUAUGUGUGAGUUAUAUACAUGCUGGGUAGCAGAGAUGGGGCAGUCACCUGUGUUUGCUGGUGUGUGUGUGCGUGUGUGUGUGUGUGUGUGUGUGUGUGUGUGUGUGUGUGAGAGAGAGAGAGAGAGAGAGAGAGAGAGAGAGAGAGAGAGAGAGAGAGAGAUAUCUGCAUGGGGAGAUGAGACACUGUACAUGUGUGAGCUAUGUGUGUGCUGGGUAGCAUGUAUGUGUCCUAUGUGUCUUCAGGGCAGCAGUGAUAAGAUUACAUUGGCUCAGGUUAGUCCCCUAAUCCAAUAUGGCAAUACAUAGGUACAAAAGUGGAGACCUAGGAAUCCACCUGCAAGGAAUGCCAAGAAGGCCAGCAAGCUGCUGCAAGCUAUGGUAAGGCAUCCUGUACCUGAUUCUUAGAUUUUGAUCUCCAAGAUGGUGAGACACUAAAUGUAUGUUGUUUAAGUCCCAGGCAUAUCAAACCUUUUGAUACUGAGAAGCAACUUAUCAUCUGUAAAUUCACACGCAAGGCUCACACAAUCUAGUCAUAAUAAAAGAAAUCACGCACACAAAUCUCACAGUGUUUUAAGUAAGUUUACAGUUUUGUUUUACACUACGCUAUACUCACAACUAUCCUUUGUUAGACACAGCCUGCCGGUCUCAGGUUGAAUGUGCCUGGAGCCAUCUUGCUUGUACCCCCGCCCCCCCAGCAGCUCUUAUAAACUCCACAGCCCACAAAUGAAAAUCUUUCGACAUUGUCAAUCUUUGAACACUUCUAGACUAACGUUAAAUUUCAAGUUUCAUGGUUUAUGUUUUUCUCUAUUGCGACUGUGUUUUUUAAAAGAACAUAAACAGAAAAGCAAGCAAGUGGCCAGGUGACUGUGAGCUUUGGCUGUGGGCUUGUUUUGCUUGUAGUAGCUGACAUUGUUGUCACCUGCCAAUUCACUGAAGUCCCUUUUCCCUACCUGACCCAAGGUGCAUUCACUUGGGCCCAGGGUUAAGCUGGAUAAAGUCAGCUGGACUCUCACCUACUCUGUUGUUGCAGACAAAUCCUUUCAUUCUUGUCUUUUCUUUCAGCUUGGUCUUCUGUUUUAAACCCCACUGACCCUUCUCUGCCUCCUCCCCUCUCGCUUUCUUUUUUGGAGGAAAAAAAAACAUUUCAGAGCUCUGCUGAAUUCACUCAUAAAGACUCAACCAAUAAAUUCCUAACUCAAAAGAUUAAAGACAUUUAUGUACAACAUACAAAAAGAAAAAGUCUUGCUUACAUCAGAGCCCCUGUGUUUGCAUAGCUUAACCAAACAGAGAAUAAUGUUUGAAAGACGAAGACUAACACAGACAUUUUUUGCUUUUUAAAACGAAGCUCAAUUACUCAAAAAUGUUGCCUGCUUUGUUGGUUUUAAAUGCUUUUAUCUCGUUUUGAUUUAUGGCUGUCCCUUGUAUAGAAGCAGAUCUCUGCUUAGCCACCUGUAGGCAGGUGUAUCUUUUUUAAGCACAGUCCCUGGAGCAGAAAUUCAUCCAUCAACUGCUCACGUGGAGCCAGAGCAUUCAGGAUCCUUUAUCUCUGUGACCCAGUCACUAGGUCUAUUUCAUAACAAAUAUUUAAUUCUGGGCGGCAGCCAUGAACAGAGAAGAGAAAGGGGAGAGAAAGCAUACAAAUUUGGGGUGAAAGGAAAGAAACUAAUAUUUAUUAGGUAUGUAUGUAGGAUCCAGAAGCAGAAGACACACUUCCCAAGCUCCUUCUUCCCCUCCACCUCUUCUCUCCUCCGUUUUCUUUUUUCUUCCUCUCCCCUUCCCUCUCCUCCCUCCCCUUCCUUUCCCAUCCUCCUCUCCUCUCCAACCCUCCUCCCUCUUCCCCUCUCCCCUCCCAUCCCUUCUUCUUCCCUUCCCAUCCUCCUCUUCUCUCCACCCCUCCUCUCUCUUCCCCUCUCUCCCCUUCUCCCCUCCCAUCCCCUCCUCACUUUGCUUUUCCUGUCCUGUCCUGUCCUGUCCUCUCCUCACUUCCCUUCCCUUCUCCUGUCUUCCCCUCCCCUCCCUUCCCCUCUCCUUCCCUUUCAUUUUUAAAAAAUAUUUUAGAAAAAUUAAACAUGACUGUCAACAAAUUACCAAAUUUCAUAAUAAUAAUAAUACUAAAAAUAUUAUUAGUAUUAUUAGUAUUCCUAAAAGAUAGACUCAUUAAGUCCCGGCUAUUGCCUUAAAACAAUCUAGUUACUACAUAACACCAACUUACAUGCAUGGUAAGAGUGUUUUUCUGUUAUAUUUCCAUCAUUUACAUUUUAAACACUCUCCUUCAAAAUACAUGGCCUAGAAGACACUGUGAAUUCCAUUGGACAGAUCUGUAAAUGAGUGUUGUAAAAGUCUGGGGAAUAAAGCACUGGGUCGCCCCCAAUGUUGCUCUUGAAUAUGAUCCAGGUCCUGUCUGUUCAUGAGGAUACGUUUUGCCUUUUGGAAUCAAGGGACCUUCCCUUCUUUGUCAUAUAAUUUAAAUGCUUUAUAAAGAUGCAUGCCAAUAAAAUAAAAUGGAACAUUAUCUAGAUAAUUUCUGAAUACUUUCAUUGACAAAGCAUUAUAAGGAUGCUAAGUGCUGAUGUGAAGGUGUGAGGCAUGCUGAUGAAGUAGCAGGAGAAGGCUGGUGUCACCUUGGCACAAUGACUUUAAAGUCAUAACCCAGAAUAACCCAGGUGUGAUUCUGAAGGUUUGCAGCAGCCAGCAAGAUUGUUCGAGGGAAAGCAGCUUCUUGGCAUUACCAAGUUUGAGAACAAAACAUGUAUCUUGGCAGAGCUGGUUACUUCUAGUAGCUGCCAUUCUCGGGUACCAUUUAGCAUCUUCAGCUUUUCACUAUCAAUGCUUCCUGGGACCCUCUAGUCUACCCAUGCUUUCUACACACGGGAAUUUCUCAAGGACCUCUGCUCAUUAUCCUCACCACAUAUAAGAGAUUGUAUGUAUUCUGUGUUAACAGAAAGCAAUUGCAACAGGUCUAGCAGAUGAUAGAUUGAAAGCUCCAGUUCUUCAGUAAUCAAGAUCAGUGAAAUUGGGGCUUAAACAAAUAGAAUAUUCCUCUGUAAAGUAGGUAUGGCAGUGGGAGAGGAGACGUCCUCUCUGGUAUACACUACAGUUUCCAUUUCCCAACCUCACAUAACACACACAGGUACAAAUCCUGCCAUGUGUGAGUUCUAUACUCUUUCCACAGGGCAGGGCUGGGAACUCUUUGAUCUGUGUUGUAUUCACUCAUUUUGCCCAGCUCUCUCUUUUGCUUGAGGAUGUUAAAACCAUCCCAUAGGCAGCUGAGCACAGGUGAAGGACGGCCUUGGGAUUCUGUGUGUCUAUCCUUUCUGAAUGUAUUCACCUUGACAUAAUGUUACCUCCCUUAAAAAGAGAAGAGCCUGCUUGGGAGAUGGUUUACUAAUUUUCUUUUUCUUUCCUCAGUGUACACAUGCGGCUCAGCCUUCUGCAAACUUUUGGUCAAGGGAGAAAGUUCAGCGCUUGUCUGAUAGGCUAGACUCCUCAAAGGGACUGUGCCUGUAACUUACCUGAAGAGGAACUGGUGGACAAGUCGUCAGCAAACAACUGAGGAAUCCUGCCAUGACCUAUCAGCUCUCUGCUGCCUCCCAACUAUUGCAGCCUUGGGAGAGGCACAUUCACUUGGAAAUGUAAUGAACAAACAUUCAUUUACUUGGAGUCAGGCCAAAGAGUUAAAGCCAAUGUCAUUUGUAGUCACAAUAAUUUUAACUUCGGACCCAUGAAGAUCUUUUCUGGUACUUUUGUGUGAAUGAGAGAUGCAACUUAAUGCUGUUGUGCUUGGGGACAUUAAUUUGAGGAAGCCACUUUGGAGGCACAACUCUCUAGGGUAAAGAAGAAAUAGCUUCCUGUCUUCCUAUGCAGGAAUCUGCUUAAAUAGACAAUUUUACCUUAACGCUUAGAGUUCAUGUCCUCAGUGCACUUGGGUCCAUAUGUUCAAAGUGGCUUGGAAAAUAAUUUAUCAGUAGUUAACAUCCCUUCCUCAUCAGCUGUUUCCAGGAAAAAGAGCUAACGUUGAGCAAUGGAAGUUGGGCUGCAUCUGAAAGGUUGUUUUUGCUGUGUGUUUCUGAGAAAGGGCAAAUUGUCAACACCACUGUCCCAGAGAGUGCUGAUCGAUAAGUGCUUCAUAGGAAGAGAACUUCCACAAGAGGUGAAGCCAGGACAGCUUGAACUGGAGUUAACUUUGGGAAGUCUUUGGGUGAACUAUAAGAAUGGGGGUGGCCCUGCUUCAUUCCUCAUGUGUACUCGUGUGCUAGAGACCAUCUAUUUGCUAAGAAACAAGGUUGAGAACUUUGUUUGGGCAAGGAGUCCAUGAGGCAUACUUCUGUUCCAACCUUAAGUGUCAGAGAGGAGAGCAAGGAAGGAUUCUGGGAAGAGUUAGGUUCUACAUUGAGUCCUGAAGGAUGCAUUUCAGUCAAUGCAUCAGUCAAUCUCCUGGACCAAUGUCCCCUAAAGAACAUCAAGAAGCAAAGAUAUAGGCUGGGCAUGGUGGCGCACUCCUUCAAUCCCAGCACUCAGGAGAUGAGAAGAGGAAGAAGGAGGAGGAAGACAAGGAGGAAGAAGGCAAGAAUGCAGAGGAAGGGAUGGAGAAGAAGGAGGAGAAGGAGGAAGAACAGGAAAAGAAGGAAGAAAGGAAGGAAGUAACAAAGGUAUAGGGACAAUAAAUUUAUUUAGAAUAUUAAUUUAGGAAGCACCAGAAGGAGGUGGGAAGUAGGGAUGGGAAGGGAGGGGGAAGAAAGAGAGAAAAAAGAGAGGCUAAGAGAGGCUGGAAGAGGCAAUAGAAGGGAAGGGAGAUGAUAGGAAGGGGGAGAGAGGAAGAGGAAAGUAGGCAGGAGUGGAGGGAAGGAGAGGGAGGGCAAGUCAGCCAGAGGAGGGCUUGUCCAUCAAGGACCCACUGUGGAUGACCUGGACGUUGUCCUUCUGGGGGCCUUUAGGAGUAUCUUUGCCAAACUUCACUUCCCAAUGAGAGGGAAGUAGUAGGCUCUGUCCCAUCCCCUUUCCCUCUGAUUAGCUACCAAUCUACAUUGUUCCUAAGAUACUAUUUUCUGAAAUCCAUAUGUGUACCUCAAACAGGCCCAGCUCUGAAGAGAAGUGUCAGUGAAGGUGUGAGUAUCAAAUGGAGAGGUGAUACUGUGCCAGCUCCAAGCUUUUCAGUGUCCUAGCCCUUCCUUAUCAUUGUGGUACUAGUCCUGAGACUCAAGGUAUGGCCACACCCACAAUGAUGAUGAUGAUGAUGGUGAUGAUGGUGGUGGUGGUGGUGGUGGUGGUGGUGGUGUGUGUGUGUGUGUGUGUGUGUGUGUGUGUCUAAAUUGGGCUUGUCUUCUCUAACAUGGAGUGUUAGAAAUGCAUCUUUUCACUUGAUGGCACCAAAACUUCCUCUGAACUUGCACACUUUACCACCUUUGGCAAAGAAGAAACAGCCAAUUUCCAUGUGGCUGAGUAAAUUUAGUAGAAGGCAUAGCAGUUUUUCUUUUAUGUGAGUCUAGGAUUUAGUGGAUCACACUACUUGACCAGAAAGGAAAGCCCUUGUUCUCUCAGCAUUAUCAUGCUGAGCUAGCUAUGUGCAAAGUCCUUACCGGAGAGCACCAAUAUUAGAAGAUGAAAUAACACUAGGGUCACUCACUCUCCUGGCCAGGAGUUGAGCACCUUUGUUCUACUGAACUGGGGACUCUGGAUCUGUAAACAUCCAGUGCCACAGUCCCAGGGCCAAAGAAAGCUACUGAAGUUAUGAUCAGAGAACACAUGUGAGCUGGCAGGGGUGGGGUGAGGCCCAGUGGCUUAUCACCCUUCUUGCCCUCUCCCUGACAUAGGCACUACUUCUCAAAUCCCUUCUUUUCCCUCAGAAACUGGCCUGUCUGCUCGUGCUCUCCUUGACUUUCCCAUCCACUUUUAACACAACUCAGAGUGAUUCCUUUGCACAUCUACUCUGUUGAUAAGUGUGUGUCCUUGUUACACACUUUCUACAGAAGUUAGAGAAGUCCCAGCAAGGACUGGACAUAGCUAUGCUUUGUAAGCAGUAUGGAGUCUGAUCUCAGAAGAAGGAUCCUAGUCAUUUCCCUGGAUGUGACAGAUUUGUGGGAGGAUUUUUACCUAUUUCCUUUUGUCUGUCUGUAUUUUCUAUAUAAAAAUAAUCUUUUCAUAAGAACCUUUUUUUCUGUACCAGAAGGGAAAAACCCUGUAAAUUAUUUUUAAAACCUCAGAAGAAAUAAUUGCUCAGGUUUCCAAGAGCUUAGGCUCUGCUAGGCUUCUUUUUAUGCAGAAUAAAAACUUAAAGAUUAAAUUAGUCAGCCCAGUGCACAUUGAAACUCUUGUUCUGUCCUAGGAUGAAGUCCACUUCACUAAGUUUGGGUAUGCUGUGGACAUUAGAAUAUGUCUAUAGAAUUCACUACUGUGUGGGUUCCAUUGCCCUGUGGACCGGAAACAUCUCUGUUAUUCAUUUAAUUCUAUGUGGCUGCCCAGCACCUACUCAUUCAGGUAUCACUGGAGUCAGGGGCCCUUCUGUCCCAGGUAAGUAGCCCUACUCAGCCCAGUGUGGCAACCUCUGUGAACUUUCCAGUUUGGUCUAUGGGUAGGCAAGGAGGAAGGAUAGUGAGGCUCUCUUCUGGGCUUCAGGGACGGAACAGAGGGCCUUGGAGUCUUGGCAGGUCUAAGAACUACUAGGAACCAAGCCCAGUGGGUGGGCUAGGUGCUGAUAAAUAAGACUCAGAAUCCAGCAGCUCCUCGCUUCUGGAACAUAAGCCAAGCCUGCAGGCCUUUUCUGUGGCUCUCCGUCCGUACUUAGGACCUUUCCUUGGGAUUAAAUGAAACUUAAACCUGCUAAAUAAACACAGGCACAAAGAAAAACCAUUGGGACUCGUUCACCUGCUAUCAAUCAUCACUGCCAGGGUGUUCCUUGUCUUGACAGCUUACUGUAGGGAGGGAGCCCUGGGCUCCCCAGAACAAAAGCAGGAGAGAAAGAAAGAAAAAUAGCAAUGAAGGAGGAGAUUUACCCUGCAGGCUGAGGAAGGAAAUUAACUGAAGAGAGACAGCAACAGGAAGACAGAUCCCAAGUCAGGCCAGUGGUUGCCAUGGUCAACUUCACAAUGAGUUCUGUUUUCUCUGCUUACUUCACUAAUAAUAGUAACAUUAUCAUCAUUCUCAUUAUUACUGAAAAGCUUUGGGAGAUGGUCAGUUGCUAAGUUGUGUGCCCAGCAAGCACAAGGACCUGAAUUUGGCCCUCAAAGCUUCUGCAAAAGCCAAAAGCAUGACAUGUACCUAUGUUUCCAGGCAUAAGAGACACCUGAACGAGUAAGUGCUGGGCAGCCACAUAGAAUAAAGUUCAUAACAAAUGUUUUGGGUCCACAGAACAAAGGAUCCCACACAGUAGCGAGUUCUAUAGCGCAUAUUCUAAUGUCUAGAGCACACCCAAACUUAGUGGGGAAAGAGAUACAGAACAAUCCCUGGAUCUCGCUGGACAGCAAUUCUAGCCCAAUUAGUGAAACCCAGGUUCAGUGAAAGACCCUAUCUCAAAAAAUAAUUGGGAGAGUGAUUGAGGAAGACAUCACCUACACACACACACACACACACACACACACAGAGAGAGAGAGAGAGAGAGAGAGAGAGAGAGAGAGACAGACAGACAGACAGAAAGAGAGAGAGAGAGACAGACAGACAGACAGAGACACAUACAAAUAUACAGGUGAUUGAUCUACUUAGUCUUCUCCAUGGUAAACAUUAUACCUAAUACUCCAUCCAUUCAUUUGUUCAUUCAUUAAUUCAUUAAUUUGACCACUCAGCAAUGUAUCUAGGCACUGGAACACAGCGGUAAAGGAGACUGAGCCCCUACAGAAUCAAGAAAGCAUAUAACUUAAAAGUAAGUGCACGGAUAUAAAAGUAUUAGAGAAUGAUAUGUGUGAUGGAGAAGAUUAUGCCCACUAGGUGAGUGAGUUUGGGAGUUGGAAGGCUGCUUAUGACAUUCCGUAAAGGGAAGCUUAUCUAGGCGCUGGCUCCAAUGCUCAGCUCCGAGCAGGAGCUAAGACUGACUGGAGCAGGUGAGGUGUUUCCUAGGAAAGCGCAAAGGCCCUGUGACAAAAGCCCUGUGACAGCUUGCAUGUGGCAGAGCUGAAGUCUAUUAGAAGGCCCGAGCCGCCAUAUGUUCUACCCAUGGAAAUUUAGGAAAUAGGAGAGUCCAGUGGUCAGGUCUGCCAAAUGGAACAAAGCAUUCUGAAGCCUGAUUAGGACCAAAUUAAAGCACGUUCUAAAGUCAAGAGCCUAUUCUGUUGUUCCUAUAGUCUUACGGCUUUUCCAUGGAUUUGACAGAUGUAUACAAAGAUAGAUACAGGUGAACUGAUGGGUAUACAGAAGAAAUGUGUGGCCCGACCCUCACCAAGACUGGGCCAUGAGUGCCUCCUCAAUGCUGUAAACAAACUCAGAGGAGUCUUAUGUUCAGGAAUUUGAUAAAGCCAGGUUAUGUUGACCAAGUCUGGUGUCAUCCACCAUUCUAGGACAAUUCUUAACUAGAUCCACAGACUCAGCUCUCCACUGGCCAGAAUAGUUAGUGAUUCUUGCCUCCUGAUCCCCUCUGUUGGUGUCCUGAGCUAGCAAGUAGGCAUUCCUGGGUGUGCUAUGUGUCUUCUUCCAGUUCCUAACACCUCUGCCCGGACACAUCUCGUUCAAGUACUUUAUGUCAGUGGCUUUCAAAAAAUGGGCAAAUAUAUAGGGAUGAAAUCAGGACGCAAAUGACAAUGAAAUGGAGACUUUCCCUAGAGGGCAGAUCCUUAGGAAUGAGUGGAACUUACAGCAAGAGUUUGGGUUUCCCUGGGGUGGGUGACAGAGAUUUAAUGUGACUGAGCCUUCAUUUGCUAGGGCCAGAAACAGACCCUGGCAUUAGCCUUUGUGAUCUCUGCCUUUUGGCUCCCAGGCAGCUGUAACACAUGGCUUUCAUUCUAGAAUGAGCUACUCAAUUAAAAUCAAAUAUCGAACCUAAUAUCCCCAACUCACCCAAACUGGUAUUAUUUGUGCAGGCACAGCGGAAGUGGAAAGAACCCCAAAUGCACACAAAGCCAGGCGAAGGUCAGCACUGAUUAUGUCAGGCUGGCAAUUUAACACUAGCUCUGCACUUUGCAAAGCAUCGACACUAUUUGCCUCUUUCGAAAGUUCAUAUUUGAGAAUAACCGACUUUGUGCAUGAGUGAGAUGGAAAUUUGUGUCUGGAAGAGGUCUGUGUGGUGUCAUUUGGACCAAGUAGCCCAUAGUUUAUAAGAAGAGCACAUGGCUCCAACAUGUGAAUGCAUUUAUUAGACACACACAUUCAAUUAUGAAUAUAACUUAAUUUUUUAUUUUAAACAUGUUGAUUACAUUGUGGUGUGUGUGUGUGUGUGUGUGUGUGUGUGUGUGUGUGUGUGUGUGUGUGGUGUGUGUGUGUGGCAGUUGGUUCUUUCCUUCUCCUGUUGAGGAGUCAUGGGAUUAUUUUUAGGUCAGGUCACCAAGCUUGAUGGCAAGCAGUUUUCCCCACUAACCCAUCUUGCUGGCCCAAUUUGAUGUUUUAAAUGGCGAGAGUAUCUAUUUUCUUCCUACAUCCCAACUGGAUUUGUUUGUGCUCUUCUUAGGGUGCAAGUCAGUUGGAUAUUCCAAGGAAUAAUGGAAUCUAGAACAGACACAGGAUUGUAGAGAGAACAGGGCUGCUCAAAGAGAUGUAGAGGAUAAAUGAAGUCAGAGGUGAAAUCUCUCUUUGGUGCCAUUUCACCAGUAAGGUCUUUGAUAGACUAACCUAUGCCCAACUCUUAGGAAAACAGAAAGAAAAGAGAGACUACUUAAGAGACAGAAGCCCAGUGAGAGAAAAUGAGAGAGGGCCAUUUUGCCAGGAAAGUUGUACAGAAACAGGAUACAGAGGGAGAACAAGCUAGACAUAGGUGUGGACAGAACAAGCUAGAGAAUGAAAAGGAGCCAGGCGAUUAGAACAUUAUUUUCAAAGUUAGUAUGAGGCUAAGCAGUGCAAUUCAGGAGAAGCUGAGAGAAACCAGAUCGAAUCAGUCAGCUUGGAGAGGAGUUUGAGCCAAAACAGCUGAGCUGAGUCAACUAUCCAGAGAUCAGAAAGAACUAGCAAGGGGUGAGCUUAUUCAGCAGCAAGUCUCAGAGACUGAAAACAUUCUAGGCCUAGAUUAGAUUGUAUGGAGGCUAGAAGUUUCCAGGACUAGGGCCUGAGUUAGAAGACAGAGGCAGCAAGCCUCAGAGAGGACAAUUUCAUCAGCAGAGUAAACGUUACUUUCAUAGGCAGUAUUGGGGAAUUUUAAAGGAUACAGCAAUGGGAUGUGAGGCCAGAAUUUUCACCUGGGUCAAAACUGAUCUGCACAUGCUUCGACUCCAUCUUCAGAACCACCAUAAACAGAGUUUGAAAGUCUCUCUCCAACUGAAACUCAGAGCCAUGCUGUACGUCACUGGAGUAGCAGGGCAGGUGGGACACUCUAGGGAUGAGACUGAACACCUGGGGGAGGGACAGGGCGUGUGCUGUGAUGGUGUGUCACAAAGAGAAGUACAGACAGAAAUUUCUAGAAGACCUCGUGUUUAUUUGCACUUUGUAAACCCCAGAGAUGAACUACAAGUCACAGUGGUGUCAGUCAUGAAGAGAUGGUUAUUGUUAAUUGUCGACUUGACAGACUCUACAGUCUCAUGAGAGGUAAACUUCUAAGCAUGCUUUCAGGGAAUUAUCCUGAUUAUGUUAAUUGAGGUGUGAAAGACCUGCCACAUCAGUGCCUGGACUGGAUCUUGAUUGUACAAACAGAGAGAAUUCCUGCAAUGGCAUGUGUAUUUUGCUCUCUGCUUCCUGAUUGCAGAUACAAUGUAAACCAGCUGUUUCAACCUUUUGCUACCUUGGCUUUCCCAGCAUGAUGGAGCAUUCCUUGGAAUUGUGAGCUCAAAUAAACCUUUUCUCCCUUAAA